RNAcentral lists this long non-coding RNA (273 nucleotides) under Salvator merianae (Argentine black and white tegu). RNAcentral describes it as "lncRNA (ENSSMRG00000014707.1)". The record is from RNAcentral. Lineage: Eukaryota; Metazoa; Chordata; Lepidosauria; Squamata; Teiidae.
CAGUGUUCAGCAAUGAGAUGGCAGUGACAGGAAAUUGGACAUAUUAGAUUUUGAGCAUGCAGGGGGAAUUGAGUUACAGAUGUCCAGGGUAAUGCUGGGAAGAUUAAUGUACAGUGCUGCAUCUCUGACUAUGGGAGCUCCCAGUGGGCUGCAGAAUGGGAAAGAAGAGCUCUACAAACUACCACUGGUUAGAAUGCGUGCAUACAAUCUUUAUGAAGGCCAAAGAGUGGGAGAAAUCUGAUCUGAACAUGGAGAGAGAAAAAAAGAAUUGCU